UGGGGAAUUGUUCGCAAUGGGCGCAAGCCUGACGACGCAACGCCGCGUGGAGGAUGAAGACCUUCGGGUCGUAAACUCCUUUCGAUCGAGACGAAUGGCCUUCGGGUGAAUAAUCCGGAGGAGUGACGGUACCGAGAGAAGAAGCCCCGGCUAACUCCGUGCCAGCAGCCGAGGUAAUACGGGGGGGGCAAGCGUUGUUCGGAAUUACUGGGCGUAAAGGGCUCGUAGGUGGCCAACUAAGUCAGACGUGAAAUCCCUCGGCUUAACCGGGGAACUGCAUCUGAUACUGGAUGGCUUGAGUUUGGGAGAGGGACGCGGAAUUCCAGGUGUAGCGGUGAAAUGCGUAGAUAUCUGGAGGAACACCGGUGGCGAAGGCGGCGUCCUGGACCAAUACUGACACUGAUGAGCGAAAGCCAGGGGAGCAAACGGG
RNAcentral lists this ribosomal RNA (430 nucleotides) under bacterium. RNAcentral's name for it is "partial 16S ribosomal RNA". It matches the Rfam family "Bacterial small subunit ribosomal RNA", at positions 355 to 776 of the family's 1533-position model. The record is from RNAcentral.